AUUUAGUACUAUAGGUACUCUCACUAGAAGUGGCCGUUAGAUAUUCAUCUGUUCACAGUUAGACAAACUGUCUAUAAAUGGAGAUGAUUUAGUACUAUAGGUACUCUCACUAGAAGUGGCCGUUAGAUAUUCAUCUGUCCACAGUUAGACAAACUGUCUAUAAAUGGAGAUGAUUUAGUACUAUAGGUACUCUCUCUAGAAGUGGCCGUUAGAUAUUCAUCUGUCCACAGUGAGACAAACUGUCUAUAAAUGGAGAUGAUUUAGUACUAUAGGUACUCUCUCUAGAAGUGGCCGUUAGAUAUUCAUCUGUCCACAGUUAGACAAACUGUCUAUAAAUGGAGAUGAUUUAGUACUAUAGGUACUCUCACUAGAAGUGGCCGUUAGAUAUUCAUCUGUCCACAGUGAGACAAACUGUCUAUAAAUGGAGGUGAUUUAGUACUAUAGGUACUCUCACUAGAAGUGGC
Molecule: long non-coding RNA, 464 nt
Organism: Xyrauchen texanus (razorback sucker)
Lineage: Eukaryota; Metazoa; Chordata; Actinopteri; Cypriniformes; Catostomidae
Exons: 3
Source: RefSeq, a predicted model, not a curated record